Molecule: long non-coding RNA, 1580 nt
Organism: Hyaena hyaena (striped hyena)
Lineage: Eukaryota; Metazoa; Chordata; Mammalia; Carnivora; Hyaenidae
Exons: 6
Source: RefSeq, a predicted model, not a curated record
GUGUCCAGCUUGCCCAGAUCAGAUCCUACUUAGUGAGGAUGUCACCUGGUGAGGCAGCAAGACUGUGCAAGGUUAAGGAGCUCCAGUGGGUGCGACCUUAGCAGAAUCAAGCAGGAGGCAGGGAUGUCAGGCCUUAGGACUUCCCUACUCGCAGUAUCUGGAAGCUCAGAGGUCUAGACAGCUGCCUCUGGAUUCUAGGAACUUCUGCAUCAGCAUCUACCUGCCCAGGUUACCAGAGGUCAGCCGAGGUGCAGAGCCCACGACCCUCCUUCUGAUGAGUCUCUGGAAGGUCGGUAGUAGCCCAGCUCUAUGUCACCGUGCCUGCAACCCUCACUCACCUCCUAUCAUGUCAUCAGGCAGGCACUUCUCACCUCACCUCCUCACAAGUAGGGUAUGAACAUAUAGGGAAAACUGGUACUUAUAGACUUCAGUACUACCUGCAGCUUCAGACACCCUCUGGGGGCUUGGGACGUACCCCCUCCAGCGAGGAGUUAUUAAAAAUGAAAACCCCACCGUAUAUUCAGGGAGUUACGCCUCAGUGCAGUAGGACUAUAAAAUCCAUCUUCAUCUCUAGGAAAUGUAAUGAAUUAAUGUCAUUCCUGUGGAUGCAUCUGCCCAACAAACGUUUAAGGGGAGACGCUUGGCAUCGAUUCGCUGCUGCCUUCUCACUGCACACAGGACUUUGCCAGAUUGACGUGCCAGUAAUUCCAUUUGGAAACAAUGAGUUGUCCAGAUUUUCUGCUGACAUUGGCAAACAGUGCCUUGCAGGGCACAUUUUAAAAAGCGGGGUUGGAAUUUGAGGUUGAACUGUUGACAGACCUGAGGGAAGGGAACUCUGCAGGGUGAGAGAAAGAGGGAGAUUUCUGGAGACAAAUGACGUAACAACUGCAGAGAUCAAGUCCUCUUUCCAUUAGAAAAGCUUUAGGAGACGUGCACACGUAGGUUAAGUGAUGAGACACAAUGGCUAAAUGGCACAACAAAGUCGGAUAUAUAUGACGUACACCUUGGGGGGAUGGUGCGUCAUAAUAGGACCCGGGAGUGUUUCAGAGACAACACGGAUGACUGCACGUGAAGCCGUGUGCUAUACCAUUGGUAUGAAAAGGUAGAGCAUCGUUUAUGGAAAAAAGCCCAGGAAGGGGGCAGAUGGAGGAGAGUCAGAGGACGAUCUCAGCCUGCUAACCCAAAGAACACUUAGCUCAUCUGUGGACGGGGAAAAUAGCAUUACAUUACAGGGUGAUUGUAUUGGUGCCUGUCACAUGGAAGAUGCCACAAAAGUAAAGACUACCAUUUUUGUAGUAAAAGAAGUUAAACAGUCCAAACAAUAUUAGGGUGGAAAGCAGAGCACUCUUUUGGGGGGCGUCACAUAAAGGCAUUUGGUGUAUGCUUACUUCCGGGGAAAAGAGAUUGGAAGAUAUAAAGGAGAAAAUGUAAGAGGUAAAUUGGAUGGAUUGCAGGGCCCAAGGAAUUAAAUAUCUGUUUGUUAAGUCAUCCAACCAGGAUUUAUAGAAUAUCUGCUAUGUGCCCGGCAUUGUUCUAGCUGUUAGGGAUAUGACAAUAAACUAAACACUCCAAGACCAGCA